Molecule: long non-coding RNA, 1448 nt
Organism: Salvelinus sp. IW2-2015
Lineage: Eukaryota; Metazoa; Chordata; Actinopteri; Salmoniformes; Salmonidae
Source: RefSeq, a predicted model, not a curated record
GACACAAACAGUGAGUCACAUUCUGCUUCUCAAAGGUUAUGUGAGGUGUCCUAAUACAUUGAAAGUGAUGUCAUAGCGGGUAUAUAAGCCUGUAGCAGGGAGCUGGCCAGCAAACGUCUGAGAGAGCUAGCAGACCUACCUGUGGAAGUGAAAGAUCAGGGUGCCAUAUCCAAUUCCCAUUCUCUGUUUCUGAGGAUACCAUAGACGCUGCACUGGAAAACAUGUUGUUUUGGCACAACCAGCCCAAGCACUACCAUCAGCAUUCAACUGCAAGUUAUAUUCGAGAUAUUUUGUCACCUUUCCUGAAACACGAUGAGGAAUGACACGCAACAGAAAAUGGAGACAAACUGUCUCCUUUUCAAUAUGUUCUCUGUGCAGCAACCUCGCCUGCUGUAAAACAGCAGGAUGAAACUCUGACUUAUCUAAACCAAGGUGACUCAUCAGUCCUCUUCUUUCCACCUCUGGGUUUGGGCAGGUGCCAUCUUUGAAGACUUGGUACUAUCAUCCAACUUCUCCCCUUCUGAACUUAGACACCACUACACACACCACUAAGUUCAGCUUACCCUACAACACACCAGCUUCAUCACACAACACAUCAUGUACCUUCUAGUUGUCUUAUUUGCUCUUUUUGCAUAUGUUUAUCUUACGUACAAUUCUGCUUUAUGGGACAAUUCUGCUUUCUGGGACUUAUAACAUUUUUACGUUGUUGAAAUGUAAAUCGAGUGUUUUAUCUUAUAGCAAGGAAAUUAGGACAAUCCUUUGUUUAUAUCUUCAGUAAGACACUUGUUGUUUGUUGUAAAGGAAACCUUGUUUAACUUUAUUUCAUUAUUUGAAAAAAGAACAAGUGGUAUAUUUGGUCUAUGAAUAACACCCAUUAGUACAACUCAAGUUGCCACUGUGUGCACAUUUUGUUGCAGGUUGUUAUAAUAUGUUGGUUCUAUGUUUGUUUUUUAAGUGAUUUCAAUUAUGGGAGUCAAGACUUUGACAUACCUUUGUCUAUCACCAUUGACAUUCAAUCAGUUGACUUUCUUUAAAACAAAGGCUGAUAUGCAUAUGCAAAAAUUAAGUCAUUUGAUUGAAUUUAGACAUGUCCGAAUACACAGCUUCAUCAACUUGAAAGUUCCGUGUCGUCAGGCUGUCAGGAAAGGACCGUCAGAUUUCGGUUGUGCUCAAUGAAGCAGUCUAACAACACUAGAAUGGAACAGGUGGAACUUGUACAAACAUAUGACAUGUUUGGUGUGUCUAUGGCCUUGGGCUCUGGGCAGCCAUGCAUGAGUCUCCGUGUAACAGCCUGAAAUGAACAGAAACAGGUUGUUUUUACAGGUUGUUCAUUUUACGAUUUGUUUUAUCUUAGUAGGUUUAGUGUGCAAUUAASUUAACCUAUUUAAUCCCAUCGGUCACAAAAGUGACCGUAAAAAACUUUUCGGUUGUAAGGCUCUAAAUCUUUU